Molecule: long non-coding RNA, 373 nt
Filed under: Ananas comosus (pineapple)
Lineage: Eukaryota; Viridiplantae; Streptophyta; Magnoliopsida; Poales; Bromeliaceae
Description: long non-coding RNA (ACOM_LNC006518)
Source: RNAcentral
AAGCGCUUGACGCCUUGAUUAUCAAAUUUUAAUUUAUAGUAAUUUACGGCUAUAAUUUUUUAAAUUAUUACAAUUAAAUCUCACAAUUCAUUUUAAUUGGCUACGUAUUAAAUGAAUUGUUGAUAUCCAAGUAAUAUAAAAAUGCUACCACUGCUGGUGUGAUAAUAAUUUUGAUGUUACGGGACUUUUGCAUCAAAAUAUAUCAAUAUUUAGUCAAGUAAUAAAAUUGAAUUACGAGACUUUACUUUUAUAAUUCAGAAUGUUCAAACUAAAAAUUAUAAUAAAUUUAAAUUUGAAGACCAAAAUACCACGUGCUUCAUAGCUUGAGAACCAAAAGUAUAUAUAAUCCAACUUUUCUUUUUUUUUUCUUUUA